This 712-nucleotide ribosomal RNA is filed under the name Aurelia coerulea. RNAcentral describes it as "partial large subunit ribosomal RNA". It matches the Rfam family "Eukaryotic large subunit ribosomal RNA", at positions 395 to 919 of the family's 3401-position model. Lineage: Eukaryota; Metazoa; Cnidaria; Scyphozoa; Semaeostomeae; Ulmaridae. The record is from RNAcentral.
GUGCGUGAAACCGUUAGAGGGGAAGCGGAUGCAGUUAGCAAUGCUUCUGCGAGAUUCAGGCGGUCGCUCGGCCAGACGUGCAGUUGAUGGAUCCGAAUGGACUGUCGCUGUACGGCCGGGUCUUGUGCCCGUCGCACUUCUCGCUGGAGCGCGUCAACAGCUGCUGGGCCUGGUCGACACGGUCAAGUGGAAGGUGAGCAUCCAGCUUGCUGGCUGUUGUUAUAUCCACUCGUACCUAGAUCGGGCUUGGCAGAGGCGAGCGGUGCAUGCUCUCUCUCGAGAGGGCUGGCGUCCUGUUCCGUUCACGUAGCCGGCUUGGAUGCACUGCGUGCAGUACGUUCUUGCCGGUGAAACGGCGUGCAGUCAACGCACUCGAUGCACCAUGGUUGUUGGCGGCCAUAUGGCUUUAUCCGACCCGUCUUGAAACACGGACCAAGGAGUCUAACAUGUGCGCAAGUCUUGGGGUGACCGAAACCCAGAGGCGCAAUGAAAGUGAAGGCUUCCUUGUGAGGCUGAGGUGAGAUCUUUGCUCUACGCGAGUGAGGCGCAUCAUCGACCGACCUAUUCUACUCUUAGGAAGGUUUGAGUAAGAGCGUACAUGUUGGGACCCGAAAGAUGGUGAACUAUGCCUGAGUAGGGUGAAGCCAGAGGAAACUCUGGUGGAAGCUCGUAGCGAUUCUGACGUGCAAAUCGAUCGUCGAACUUGGGUAUA